Molecule: ribosomal RNA, 468 nt
Filed under: uncultured bacterium
Lineage: Bacteria
Description: partial 16S ribosomal RNA
Rfam family: Bacterial small subunit ribosomal RNA
Source: RNAcentral
GACGAACGCUGGCGGCGUGCUUAACACAUGCAAGUCGAACGGAAAGGCCCUGCUUUUGUGGGGUGCUCGAGUGGCGAACGGGUGAGUAACACGUGAGUAACCUGCCCUUGACUUUGGGAUAACUUCAGGAAACUGGGGCUAAUACCGGAUAGGAGCUCCUGCUGCAUGGUGGGGGUUGGAAAGUUUCGGCGGUUGGGGAUGGACUCGCGGCUUAUCAGCUUGUUGGUGGGGUAGUGGCUUACCAAGGCUUUGACGGGUAGCCGGCCUGAGAGGGUGACCGGCCACAUUGGGACUGAGAUACGGCCCAGACUCGUACGGGAGGCAGCAGUGGGGAAUAUUGCACAAUGGGCGGAAGCCUGAUGAAGCAACGCCGCGUGCGGGAUGACGGCCUUCGGGUUGUAAACCGCUUUCGCCUGUGACGAAGCGUGAGUGACGGUAAUGGGUAAAGAAGCACCGGCUAACUACGUG